AAUGAGCGCUGGCGGCAGGCCUAACACAUGCAAGUCGAGCGGCCGUAGCAAUACGGCAGCGGCAGACGGGAGAGUAACACGUGGGAACGUACCUUUCAGUUCGGAACAACCCAGGGAAACUUGGGCUAAUACCGGAUACGCCCGUAAGGGGAAAGAUUUAUCGCUGAAAGAUCGGCCCGCGUCUGAUUAGCUAGUUGGUGAGGUAACGGCUCACCAAGGCGACGAUCAGUAGCUGGUCUGAGAGGAUGAUCAGCCUCGACUGAGACACGGCCCAGACUCCUACGGGAGGCAGCAGGUGGGAAUAUUGCGCAAUGGGCGAAAGCCUGACGCAGCGACGCCGCGUGAGGGAUGACGGCC
Molecule: ribosomal RNA, 357 nt
Filed under: uncultured bacterium
Lineage: Bacteria
Description: bacterial SSU rRNA
Rfam family: Bacterial small subunit ribosomal RNA
Source: RNAcentral